This 525-nucleotide ribosomal RNA is filed under the name Triticum aestivum (bread wheat). Its description in RNAcentral is "partial small subunit ribosomal RNA". The record is from RNAcentral. Lineage: Eukaryota; Viridiplantae; Streptophyta; Magnoliopsida; Poales; Poaceae.
AUGUCCUUAGCUGCUCAAAACUGGAGCAAAGUACCAAAGUUAGAGAAAGAGAAGUUGUGGGAUUCUAUCCAGGCAUUUCUCAACAUUGACGAGUCAUACAAAAGAUGGGUGUUGAGAUCAGCAAGUAAAAAACGGAAAGACUUCAAGGUUGUUUUAAAGAGGAAAUACUACAAAGCUGAUUUGUCACGAGCAUGGAAUAUUCUUAAUGGUUGUGAUAAUAGAAUCCCAAUUAGACAGUGGGAGUGGCUAGUAAAACACUGGAGAAUAGAGAAAGCUAAUGAAAAAUCUGAAAGAAACAAGGCUACUCAGGCAUCGCAACUCGAGGGAUGCAAUGGGACCCACACCGCUAGGUCACGAAGUUUUGCAGUUGUCCUUGAUCAAAUGGAGAUGGUAGAGGGUAGGGAAAUUGGGCGUGCCGAGCUUUACGUGGUUACAUAUACGAAAAACAAUGGAUAUCCAGUCAACCAACAAAGUGGAGUAAAAAUGGAUGACAUUAAAAAAGGAUUCAAGCAGAUCCUUAUUUGA